This 482-nucleotide ribosomal RNA is filed under the name uncultured bacterium. Its description in RNAcentral is "partial 16S ribosomal RNA". It matches the Rfam family "Bacterial small subunit ribosomal RNA", at positions 28 to 523 of the family's 1533-position model. The record is from RNAcentral.
GACGAACGCUGGCGGCGUGCUUAACACAUGCAAGUCGAACGAUGAAACCUAGCUUGCUAGGUCGAUUAGUGGCGAACGGGUGAGUAACACGUGACUAACCUGCCCCUUUCUCUGGGAUAACGCUCCGAAAGGAGUGCUAAUACCGGAUACUCACAUCGAGGCACAUGCCUUGGUGUGGAAAGUUUUUCGGAAAGGGAUGGAGUCGCGGCCUAUCAGCUUGUUGGUGAGGUAACGGCUCACCAAGGCGACGACGGGUAGCCGGCCUGAGAGGGGGGCCGGCCACUCUGGGACUGAGCCACGGCCCAGACUCCUACGGGAGGCAGCAGUGGGGAAUAUUGCACAAUGGGCGCAAGCCUGAUGCAGCGACGCCGCGUGAGGGAUGAAGGUCUUCGGAUUGUAAACCUCUUUCAGUAGGGACGAAGCGAAAGUGACGGUACCUAAAGAAGAAGCACCGGCUAACUACGUGCCAGCAGCCGCCGUAA